AUCUUUUUAGUAUAAUUAAUACCUCUGACUUCCAAUCAGAGCAUCUUGGUUAAACCCCAAGAAAAGAUA
This 69-nucleotide transfer RNA is filed under the name Benthodesmus tenuis (slender frostfish). RNAcentral's name for it is "tRNA-Gly". It matches the Rfam family "tRNA". Rfam says of the family: Transfer RNA (tRNA) molecules are approximately 80 nucleotides in length. The record is from RNAcentral. Lineage: Eukaryota; Metazoa; Chordata; Actinopteri; Scombriformes; Trichiuridae.